ACCAUAAAAACAUGAGCAACAAAGAAAGAAAGAAAAAGAAUGUAGUGAUAUGUACAAAGUGCUUGAUUUUAUUAAGCAAAAAUGAGGGUUAGAAGACUGCACACAUCUCCCUUUGUGCCCUAGUGAAGGUUCAACAUUUUAGAUUUAAGGUCAAGUAUAUGCAAUCUCACCAUGAUAGUUCCCUCAGCCUAAGGAUCAAAGGUCACUAGAGCUAUGGCCCCCUUCAAAGCAUAUCCACAACAGUCGAGUAAUCAACUAGAUGAGGAGAUACAAGUGAAGAGAACAGACUCUAGCUGGAGUUCUCACGAUAGCCAGACAGGAAGUACAUCCCAGAGUGACACCGCUACACAACUCCUCUAAUUCUAAGUUAUGCUCAGACCCGGGUAUAGGGCCCCACUCAAUAGAUGCAUAAUAUGUGUGUGUGUGAAGGGAGAAUGCAAUGCACCCAAACCCUCACCUGCAAAACAACCAGAAGAUUCCCAGGCAGAUAUAAACAUGUUUCAUACCCUAGGGUUCAAUAUCCAACAAUUCACAUGCAGUUAUUCCAAAUAUCAAGCAUAGAUAAAGAAAAGGGAAAAGAAAAACACAAAGCAAAAUCACACCGAAUUCGCACAUCUAAUUAAAUGGCUUGACUCUCACAUGGUCCGCAGUGGAGUCGCCAUCUGUCGCAACCAAAAAAUCGCGACGGGACGACGAUCCAAAAAGAAAACGAUUUUGAGAAAGUUUUGGAGUCGCCACCAUAGUUUAUUCUGGAAAACUAUGGAAAAAACCAUAAAAAUGAUAAAACACUGUCCACGAAAACUAAAGAUUGAGUUCGGGAGUCGGUUACGUAUGGGGAAGGUGUUAGCACCCCCACAACGCCUGCCCUAA
RNAcentral lists this long non-coding RNA (870 nucleotides) under Vigna radiata. RNAcentral describes it as "long non-coding RNA (VRAD_LNC010093)". The record is from RNAcentral. Lineage: Eukaryota; Viridiplantae; Streptophyta; Magnoliopsida; Fabales; Fabaceae.